Molecule: unclassified non-coding RNA, 270 nt
Filed under: Corynascella humicola
Lineage: Eukaryota; Fungi; Ascomycota; Sordariomycetes; Sordariales; Chaetomiaceae
Description: partial internal transcribed spacer region
Rfam family: Eukaryotic small subunit ribosomal RNA (bases 1-46)
Source: RNAcentral
AAGUCGUAACAAGGUCUCCGUUGGUGAACCAGCGGAGGGAUCAUUACAGAGUUGAAAGACUCCCCAAACCAUCGCGAACGUUACCCUUAACCGUUGCUUCGGCGGGCGGUCUCCUUCAACCCCCCACGGGUUGGGAAACCCCUCGGCCCCCCUUUCGCGGGGGGGGGGCGCCCGCCGGAGGUCACGCAAACUCUUGAUACCUGAACGGCCUCUCUGAGUAUUCUGUACUGAAUUAAGUCAAAACUUUCAACAACGGAUCUCUUGGUUCUG